Molecule: ribosomal RNA, 1165 nt
Filed under: Cytobacillus firmus
Lineage: Bacteria; Bacillati; Bacillota; Bacilli; Caryophanales; Bacillaceae
Description: bacterial SSU rRNA
Rfam family: Bacterial small subunit ribosomal RNA
Source: RNAcentral
GGAGGCGAGCAGUAGGGAAUCUUCCGCAAUGGACGAAAGUCUGACGGAGCAACGCCGCGUGAGUGAUGAAGGUUUUCGGAUCGUAAAACUCUGUUGUUAGGGAAGAACAAGUACCGGAGUAACUGCCGGUACCUUGACGGUACCUAACCAGAAAGCCACGGCUAACUACGUGCCAGCAGCCGCGGUAAUACGUAGGUGGGCAAGCGUUGUCUCGGAAUUAUUGGGCGUAAAGCGCGCGCAGGCGGGUUCCUUAAGUCUGAUGUGAAAGCCCACGGCUCAACCGUGGAGGGUCAUUGGAAACUGGGGAACUUGAGUGCAGAAGAGAAGAGUGGAAUUCCACGUGUAGCGGUGAAAUGCGUAGAGAUGUGGAGGAACACCAGUGGCGAAGGCGACUCUUUGGUCUGUAACUGACGCUGAGGCGCGAAAGCGUGGGGAGCAAACAGGAUUAGAUACCCUGGUAGUCCACGCCGUAAACGAUGAGUGCUAAGUGUUAGAGGGUUUCCGCCCUUUUAGUGCUGCAGCAAACGCAUUAAGCACUCCUCCUGGGGAGUACGGCCGCAAGGCUGAAACUCAAAAGGAAUUGACGGGGGCCCGCAACAAGCCGGUGGAGCAUGUGGUUUAAUUCGAAGCAACGCCGAAGAACCUUACCAGGUCUUGACAUCCUCCUGACAACCCUAGAGAUAGGGCGUUCCCCUUCGGGGGACAGGAUGACAAGGUGGUGCAUGGUUGUCGUCAGCUCGUGUCGUGAGAUGUUGGGUUAAGUCCCGCAACGAGCGCAACCCUUGAUCUUAGUUGCCAGCAUUCAGUUGGGCACUCUAAGGUGACUGCCGGUGACAAACCGGAGGAAGGUGGGGAUGACGUCAAAUCAUCAUGCCCCUUAUGACCUGGGCUACACACGUGCUACAAUGGAUGGUACAAAGGGCUGCGAGACCGCGAGGUUAAGCGAAUCCCAUAAACGACCAUUCUCAGUUCGGAUUGCAGGCUGCAACUCGCCUGCAUGAAGCCGGAAUCGCUAGUAAUCGCGGAUCAGCAUGCCGCGGUGAAUACGUUCCCGGGCCUUGUACACACCGCCCGUCACACCACGAGAGUUUGUAACACCCGAAGUCGGUGGGGUAACCUUUUGGAGCCAGCCGCCUAAGGUGGGACAGAUGAUUGGGGGAAGUCG